UCUCCGUUGGUGAACCAGCGGAGGGAUCAUUACCGAGUUAUCAACUCCCAAACCCCUGUGAAUAUACCCAACGUUGCUUCGGCGGGACCGCCCCGGCGCCCUCGGCGUCCCGGAACCAGGCGCCCGCCGGAGGACCCAAACUCUUGUUUAAACCAUAGUGGCAUAUUCUGAGUCUCACAAGAAAAGUGAAUCAAAACUUUCAACAACGGAUCUCUUGGCUCUG
This 223-nucleotide unclassified non-coding RNA is filed under the name plant metagenome. RNAcentral's name for it is "partial contains small subunit ribosomal RNA, internal transcribed spacer 1, and 5.8S ribosomal RNA". The record is from RNAcentral.